GAUGAAGAACGUAGUGAAAUGCGAUACUUGGUGUGAAUUGCAGAAUCCCGUGAACCAUCGAGUCUUUGAACGCAAGUUGCGCCCGAAGCCACUAGGCCGAGGGCACGCCUGCCUGGGCGUCACACGCCGUUGCCCCCCCAUCUACUCCUUCGGGAUUGCGGGGGGGCGGAUGAUGGCCUCCCGUGCGCCUAGCCGCGCGGUUGGCAUAAAUACCAAGUCCUCGGCGACGCACGCCACGACAAUCGGUGGUUGCGAAACCUCGGUUGCCCGUCGUGUGCGUUCGUCGCGCAUCGAGGGCUCGAAAAAAUGCUCGGCUCCGGCUGGGCUUUCAACGCGACCCCAGGUCAGGCGGGGUUACCCGCUGAAUUUAAGCGUAUCAAUAAGCGGAGGA
Molecule: unclassified non-coding RNA, 391 nt
Filed under: soil metagenome
Description: partial contains 5.8S ribosomal RNA, internal transcribed spacer 2, and large subunit ribosomal RNA
Rfam family: 5.8S ribosomal RNA (bases 1-122)
Source: RNAcentral